Molecule: ribosomal RNA, 1301 nt
Filed under: Apilactobacillus kunkeei
Lineage: Bacteria; Bacillati; Bacillota; Bacilli; Lactobacillales; Lactobacillaceae
Description: bacterial SSU rRNA
Rfam family: Bacterial small subunit ribosomal RNA
Source: RNAcentral
UCGACGAGCUCUCCAAAUUGAUUUUAUGCUUGCAUAAAUGAUUUUUGGAUUCGGAGCGAGUGGCGAACUGGUGAGUAACACGUGGGUAACCUGCCCCGAAGCGGGGGAUAACAUUUGGAAACAAGUGCUAAUACCGCAUAAUUAGUUGGAACCGCAUGGUUCCAACUUGAAAGAUGGCUCUGCUAUCACUUUGGGAUGGACCCGCGCCGUAUUAGUUAGUUGGUGAGAUAAAAGCCCACCAAGACGAUGAUACGUAGCCGACCUGAGAGGGUAAUCGGCCACAUUGGGACUGAGACACGGCCCAGACUCCUACGGGAGGCAGCAGUAGGGAAUCUUCCACAAUGGACGAAAGUCUGAUGGAGCAACGCCGCGUGAGUGAUGAAGGUUUUCGGAUCGUAAAACUCUGUUGUUAAAGAAGAACAAGUGUUAGAGUAACUGUUAACACUUUGACGGUAUUUAACCAGAAAGCCACGGCUAACUACGUGCCAGCAGCCGCGGUAAUACGUAGGUGGCAAGCGUUGUCCGGAUUUAUUGGGCGUAAAGCGAGCGCAGGCGGUUUUGUAAGUCUGCUGUGAAAGCCCUCAGCUCAACUGAGGAAGUGCAGUGGAAACUACAAAACUUGAGUACAGAAGAGGAAAGUGGAACUCCAUGUGUAGCGGUGAAAUGCGUAGAUAUAUGGAAGAACACCAGUGGCGAAGGCGGCUUUCUGGUCUGUUACUGACGCUGAGGCUCGAAAGCAUGGGUAGCGAACAGGAUUAGAUACCCUGGUAGUCCAUGCCGUAAACGAUGAAUACUAGGUGUUGGAGGGUUUCCGCCCUUCAGUGCCGCAGCUAACGCAUUAAGUAUUCCGCCUGGGGAGUACGACCGCAAGGUUGAAACUCAAAGGAAUUGACGGGGGCCCGCACAAGUGGUGGAGCAUGUGGUUUAAUUCGAUGCUACGCGAAGAACCUUACCAGCUCUUGACAUCUUCUGCCAACCCAAGAGAUUGGGCGUUCCCUUCGGGGACAGAAUGACAGGUGGUGCAUGGUUGUCGUCAGCUCGUGUCGUGAGAUGUUGGGUUAAGUCCCGCAACGAGCGCAACCCUUAUUAUUAGUUGCCAGCAUUUAGUUGGGCACUCUAGUGAGACUGCCGGUGAUAAACCGGAGGAAGGUGGGGACGACGUCAAAUCAUCAUGCCCCUUAUGAGCUGGGCUACACACGUGCUACAAUGGAUGGUACAACGAGUCGCGAAACCGCGAGGUCAAGCUAAUCUCUUAAAGCCAUUCUCAGUUCGGAUUGCAGGCUGCAACUCGCCUGCAUGAA